Molecule: ribosomal RNA, 651 nt
Filed under: uncultured bacterium
Lineage: Bacteria
Description: bacterial SSU rRNA
Rfam family: Bacterial small subunit ribosomal RNA
Source: RNAcentral
GAAACGACUGCUAAUACCGCAUAAUCCCUGAGGGGGAAAGAUUUAUCGCUUUAAGAUUGGCCCGCGGAAGAUUAGGUAGUUGGUGGGGUAAAGGCCUACCAAGCCGACGAUCUAUAGCUGGUCUGAGAGGACGAACAGCCACAUUGGAACUGAGACACGGUCCAGACUCCUACGGGAGGCAGCAGUGAGGAAUAUUGGGCAAUGGAGGAAACUCUGACCCAGCCAUGCCGCGUGAGUGAAGAAGGUUUUCGAAUUGUAAAGCUCUUUCGGAUGGGACGAUGAUGACGGUACCAUCUAAAGAAGCCCCGGCAAACUUCGUGCCAGCAGCCGCGGUAAUACGAAGGGGGCAAGCGUUGUUCGGAAUUACUGGGCGUAAAGGGUGUGUAGGCGGAUUUGUAAGAUAGUGGUGAAAUACCUGAGCUCAACUUAGGAAUUGCCAUUAUAACUAUAGAUCUGGAGUGACAGAGAGGAUAUUGGAAUACCCAGUGUAGAGGUGAAAUUCGUAGAUAUUGGGUAGAACACCAGUGGCGAAGGCGAGUAUCUGGCUGUCAACUGACGCUGAGGCACGAAAGCAUGGGGAUCAAACAGGAUUAGAUACCCUGGUAGUCCAUGCUGUAAAAGAGGAAUGCUAGUUGUCGGCAAAAGCCGGUG